This 895-nucleotide long non-coding RNA is filed under the name Equus caballus (horse). Its description in RNAcentral is "lncRNA (ENSECAG00000052410.1)". Lineage: Eukaryota; Metazoa; Chordata; Mammalia; Perissodactyla; Equidae. The record is from RNAcentral.
UCUUAAGAAGUGCAUCAAGCCUCUGAUUUGCUGCUGACAAAUUGUCUGCUCGUCAGAGAAAAAGGCCAGGAAACCCAAGUGAUUACCUCUGCCAGCAUGACUCCCCCACCCCUCAGCCUGGUAGACCCAGCCUUGGAAAUGAAACAAAGGCUGCCUUGCGGCUAGUCCAAAUUGUCACCAUCGCCUUGGCUGGUCUUGCCACCUCCAGCUUCUUCCCCACUAACGCAGAAGAAUACUCCAAAGGCCCCUGCGGUGUUCAUCCCCCAUCCGCAUGGACACCCCGGGGCACUCGAGGCCUGUUAUGCCUCGGUCCCUCCUGGCCACUAGCGUUGAUUGUUUCCUGCCCCAUUGCCCACCCCUCACACUGUCCCUCAGGUCCCAGGCCCCAAGCCUGGCCUGCCUGCUCACACCUACCCUCCCUUGCCCAUGUCAGUCCCCCUGACCAGGCUGUCCAUCCCCUCUGAUCUUCGCUUCACUCCUUCCAGACUUAGCUCAGGCCUCCUUUGGCUGUCUGGACCUGGCUCCAGCCUCCUGUCCGCCAACAUCGUGUCAGGGACUAAACAAAGGCUUGGGAGUCCCAAGAUGUGGUCCCACUCUUGGCUCUGGCUUUAGACAUGUUUCUGAGACUCAGUUUCCCCAACUGUAAAAGAUGGCUGCCUACCUUGCACAGUUGUUCUAGGAUUAACAGAGCAUGUUUAUUAAGUGCCUGACACACAGUCAGUCCUCAGGCAUUAGAGCUAUCGUUAUUGUUACAAUAGUUUAACCUCUCUGAAAUUCAGGCAUUGGUAACUAUUCUAACUCGCCAUGAGGAUCAUGUAAACUGAUGUGUAUGAAACUUCUGUAAAUUGACAAGCCUUUACAUAAAGCUAAUUAUUAUUUGUAUCUCUGUUAAGGU